This 253-nucleotide ribosomal RNA is filed under the name uncultured bacterium. RNAcentral describes it as "partial 16S ribosomal RNA". It matches the Rfam family "Bacterial small subunit ribosomal RNA", at positions 524 to 776 of the family's 1533-position model. The record is from RNAcentral.
UACGGAGGGUGCAAGCGUUAUCCGGAUUUACUGGGUUUAAAGGGCUCGUAGGCGGCCAACUAAGUCCGACGUGAAAUCCCAAAGCUUAACUUUGGAACUGCGUCGGAUACUGGAUGGCUUGAAUUCGGGAGAGGGAUGCAGAAUUCCCGGUGUAGUGGUGGAAUGCGUAGAUAUCGGGAGGAACACCAGUGGCGAAGGCGGUUGCCUGGGGCUUUGCUGACGCUGAUGCGCGAAAGCGUGGGGAGCGAUCCGG